This 459-nucleotide ribosomal RNA is filed under the name uncultured bacterium. RNAcentral describes it as "partial 16S ribosomal RNA". It matches the Rfam family "Bacterial small subunit ribosomal RNA", at positions 338 to 795 of the family's 1533-position model. The record is from RNAcentral.
CCUACGGGGGGCAGCAGUGAGGAAUAUUGGUCAAUGGCCGGAAGGCUGAACCAGCCAAGCCGCGUGAAGGACGAAGGUGCCAAGCAUUGUAAACUUCUUUUGUCAAGGGACAAAAUCAGGCUCGAGAGCCUGACCGAGGGUACUUGAAGAAAAAGCAUCGGCUAACUCCGUGCCAGCAGCCGCGGUAAUACGGAGGAUGCGAGCGUUAUCCGGAUUUAUUGGGUUUAAAGGGUGCGUAGGCGGACUGUUAAGUCAGCGGUAAAAGCCCGGGGCUCAACCCCGGCGAGCCGUUGAAACUGGCUGUCUUGAGAUGUCGAGAGGUAUGCGGAAUGCGGAGUGUAGCGGUGAAAUGCUUAGAGAUCAUACAGAACACCGAUUGCGAAGGCAGCUUACCAAUCUAUAUCUGACGUUGAGGCACGAAAGCGUGGGGAGCGAACAGGAUUAGAUACCCUGGUAGUC